RNAcentral lists this ribosomal RNA (253 nucleotides) under uncultured bacterium. Its description in RNAcentral is "partial 16S ribosomal RNA". It matches the Rfam family "Bacterial small subunit ribosomal RNA", at positions 524 to 776 of the family's 1533-position model. The record is from RNAcentral.
UACAGAGGUGCCAAGCGUUGUUCGGAUUUACUGGGCGUAAAGGGUGCGUAGGUGGUUUGGUAAGUCGGAUGUGAAAUCCUGCAGCUCAACUGCAGAACUGCAUUCGAAACUGCCAAGCUGGAGUACUGGAGAGGAGAUCGGAAUUCUCGGUGUAGCAGUGAAAUGCGUAGAUAUCGAGAGGAACACCAGUGGCGAAGGCGGAUCUCUGGACAGUUACUGACACUGAGGCACGAAAGCCAGGGGAGCAAACGGG